AGAGUUUGAUCCUGGCUCAGGACGAACGCUGGCGGCGUGCCUAAUACAUGCAAGUCGAGCGGAUCUUUAGAAGCUUGCUUCUGAAGAUUAGCGGCGGACGGGUGAGUAACACGUGGGCAACCUGCCUGUAAGACUGGGAUAACACCGGGAAACCGGUGCUAAUACCGGAUAAUUCUUUUCCUCUCAUGAGGAAAAGCUGA
RNAcentral lists this ribosomal RNA (200 nucleotides) under uncultured bacterium. Its description in RNAcentral is "partial 16S ribosomal RNA". It matches the Rfam family "Bacterial small subunit ribosomal RNA", at positions 8 to 204 of the family's 1533-position model. The record is from RNAcentral.